RNAcentral lists this ribosomal RNA (1887 nucleotides) under Triticum aestivum (bread wheat). RNAcentral describes it as "partial small subunit ribosomal RNA". Lineage: Eukaryota; Viridiplantae; Streptophyta; Magnoliopsida; Poales; Poaceae. The record is from RNAcentral.
AUGGCCGUGGCGGCACGGGAAGNNNNNNNNNNNNNNNNNNNNGACGCGUGGGCGGAGAUCCUGGCCAGCGGCGGCGGCGGCGGGCCUCGCAUCGGCGCGGUGUACGAGCGCCGCCGGGCGCAGGAGGCGUCGAGGCAGAGGAACGCGGACGCGAGAGGCGGCGUCGCGGCGGCUGUCGAGAACCGGCCGAGCUUCGCGCCGGUCAAGCGGACCAGCUGGAACCGGUCGCUCUCCAUCAGAGGGCGGGAAAGUAUAUUUUUUGCACCCGGGACAAAUCUUCAGCCUCAACAGAAACUCUGCAGAGCACUCAAACGACCACCAAAACCGUGUAACAGAGUGAAAAAACCUCUUGGAGGGCCACCCGACUUGAGUAAAGAAAAGGCUUAUUUUGAAGAAGUCGAUGCUUUUGAGCUGAUGGAAGAGAGCCCUUCGCCCAAGAACUUUGGCACAUGGGCAGGAGGGAUGGAGCAGAGUCUCAUUGUGCAUGAUCUGCCUGCAAUAUUGGAGAGGUGGAAAAUCUUCAAGCUUGCAAGAUGUGCAGCAUCCAAUCAAUUGUUUGAUAUCAUGGAGACCCCACUUAUCCCAUCAGUCAUCAGUAACUGCAGUACAGAAAAUUAUUCUGAAAAAGCUUAUAGGACACCUGAAAAGGACAGAGGGUCAGGGAUGCACCCAACAAGAAGGACAAUCCUUUCAGGAUACACUAAUGAGAGUACAAAGAACAUUGCAGGCGAAACCAGCAUUGUCACGUCCUUUAGUGAGCUUAACAUUGAGGAACCCCCCCGCAUCAGCAUUCCUUCAUCAAGUGGUGAAGCUCUGACUGCCUCUGCACAACUUCUCAUGGUUUGCAGGCAAUCUGCACCAGCUACUUUAGCAGAUGUUUUUUCUGCUUACUGCAAGUUAGACAGCAUAGUGAAGCUUGGUGAAGGAACUUAUGGCGAGGCCUACAGGGCUGGAAGCACUGUCUGUAAAGUGGUACCCUUCGAUGGGGAUUCAUUGGUCAAUGGAGAGACUCAGAAGAAAUCGGAAGAAGUACUCGAGGAAGCUUUGCUUUGUCUAACACUAAAUAAUUUGAGAACGGACCAGGGAGAUAAAGGAAAAGACUAUUCAUGCGAUGGCUUCAUUGAGACUAAAGACUUUUGGGUUUGUAAGGGACCAUAUGACCCUUCACUGAUUAGUGCUUGGGAAGAUUGGGAUUCCAAACAUGAAUCUGAGAAUGAUCAUCCAAAGGACUUCUCAAACGAUCAGCAUUAUAUUAUCUUUGUACAAGCAGACGGUGGGAGAGACCUUGAAAAAUUCGCUUUACUCGACUAUAAUGAGGCUCGCAGUCUACUGCUUCAAGUUACUGCCUCCUUAGCUGUAGCUGAGAGUGCCUGCGAAUUUGAACAUCGAGAUUUGCAUUGGGGUAAUAUUCUUUUGGCUCGUGAUGAAAUGUCAAACAAGGAUCAUACAAUGAGCAUCACUCUUCAAGGGAAGAGGAUUCGUGCUAGAACUUUUGGUUUGACCAUCUCCAUAAUUGACUUCACUCUUUCUCGGAUCAAUACAGGGAAUGCCAUUCUCUUUCUUGACCUGUCUGAGGACCCUGACUUAUUUAAAGGACCAAAAGGAGACAAGCAGGCAGAAACUUAUCGCAAGAUGAAACAAAUUACCAAGGAAUGCUGGGAAGGCAGCUUCCCAAAGACGAAUGUCGUCUGGCUAAUUUACCUUGUGGAUAUUGUGCUACAGAAGAAAUACGAGGCGUGCAACUCCACAGAUGAGAGAGAGCUCCGGUCGUUCAAGAAACGGCUUUCCUCGUGCGGUUCUGCUAGAGAUUGCCUUGCUGAUCCCAUUUUCAGCGAUCUGCUGUUGGAAGAGGAGGAUGUGCGACCCUCAGCAAUGCCUCCCCUGUAG